RNAcentral lists this ribosomal RNA (800 nucleotides) under uncultured archaeon. Its description in RNAcentral is "bacterial SSU rRNA". It matches the Rfam family "Archaeal small subunit ribosomal RNA", at positions 102 to 903 of the family's 1478-position model. The record is from RNAcentral.
AGUCAAUCUAACCUAUGGACGUGGAUAACCUCGGGAAACUGAGAAUAAUUCUCGAUAGAUCAUAAUACCUGGAAUGGUUUAUGGUUAAAAUGAUUCGUCGCCAUAGGAUGGGACUGCGGCCUAUCAGCUUGUUGGUGAGGUAAUGGCCCACCAAGGCGAUUACGGGUACGGGCUCUGAGAGGAGAAGCCCGGAGAUGGGUACUGAGACAAGGACCCAGGCCCUAUGGGGCGCAGCAGGCGAGAAAACUUUGCAAUGUGCGAAAGCACGACAAGGUUAAUCCGAGUGUUUCCUGCUAAAGGAAUCUUUUGUUAGUCGUAAAACCACUAUCGAAUAAGGGGUGGGCAAGUUCUGGUGUCAGCCGCCGCGGUAAAACCAGCACCUCAAGUGGUCAGGAUGUUUAUUGGGCCUAAAGCAUCCGUAGCCUGUCAUGUAAGUUUCCGGUUAAAUCCAUGUGCUUAACAUAUGGGCUGCCGAAAAUACUGCACGACUAGGGAGUGGGAGAGGUAGACGGUACUCGAUAGGAAGGGGUAAAAUCCUUUGAUCUAUUGAUGACCACCUGUGGCGAAGGCGGUCUACCAGAACACGUCCGACGGUGAGGGAUGAAAGCUGGGGGAGCAAACCGGAUUAGAUACCCGGGUAGUCCCAGCUGUAAACUAUGCAAACUCAGUGAUGCAUUGGCUUGUGGCCAGUGCAGUGCCGCAGGGAAGCCGUUAAGUUUGCCGCCUGGGAAGUACGUACGCAAGUAUGAAACUUAAAGGAAUUGGCGGGGGAGCACCACAAGGGGUGAAGCCUGCGGUUC